RNAcentral lists this ribosomal RNA (115 nucleotides) under uncultured eukaryote. RNAcentral describes it as "partial small subunit ribosomal RNA". It matches the Rfam family "Bacterial small subunit ribosomal RNA", at positions 1410 to 1525 of the family's 1533-position model. The record is from RNAcentral.
GCCGGUUCUAUCUAGAGUCGUUAGCCUAACCGCAAGGAGGGCGGCGCCUAGGGUAGUGUGGUGACUGGGGCUAAGUCGUAACAAGGUAACCGUAGGUGAACCUGCAGAAGGAUCA